GGACUACAAGGGUAUCUAAUCCUGUUUGCUCCCCACGCUUUCGCACCUCAGUGUCAGUGUUGGACCAGGAAGCCGCCUUCGCCACUGAUGUUCCUCCAGAUAUCUACGCAUUUCACCGCUACACCUGGAAUUCCACUUCCCUCUUCCACACUCUAGCAAGGCAGUCUUGAAUGCAAUUCCCAAGUUAAGCCCGGGGAUUUCACACCCAACUUACCAAGCCACCUACGUGCGCUUUACGCCCAGUAAUUCCGAUUAACGCUUGCACCCUCUGUAUUACCGCGGCUGCUGGCAC
This 292-nucleotide ribosomal RNA is filed under the name uncultured bacterium. RNAcentral's name for it is "partial 16S ribosomal RNA". RNAcentral also lists the same sequence under 1 other name. The record is from RNAcentral.